GAUGGAACAGCCAAAAUGCACCAAAAUACACCCAAAUUACACCUGAACACACCUGAACACACCCGAAAUACACCUGAACCACAUGGGUAAGGAUGGAACAGCCAAAAUGCACCAAAAUACACCCGAAAUACACCUGAACACACCCGAAAUACACCUGAAUACACCCGAAAUACACCUGAACCACAUGGGUAAGGAUGGAAUGUGUAAAAUACACCUGAACCCACCCAAAAUGCACCUGAACACACCCAAAUUACACCUGAAUACACCCAAAUUACACCCAAAAUACACCUGAAUGACAUGGGUAAGGAUGGAACAGCCAAAUUACACGUGAACACACCCAAAAUACACCUAGAUACACCCAAAUUACACCUAAAUUACACCUGGGGGCACCCAAAUUACACCUGAACCACCACAUGGGUAAGGAUGGAACGUGUAAAAUGCACCUGAACACACCCAAAAUGGAGCUAAAUACACCCAAAAUGGAGCUAAAUGCACCCAAAAUACACCUGAACCACAUGGGUAAGGAUGGAACAGCCAAAAUGCACCUGAACACACCCAAAUUACACCUGAACACACCUAGAUACACCCAAAUUACACCUGAACCACAUGGGUAAGGAUGGAACACACAAAAUACACCUGUACACACAGUUACACGCCUGUAUCUCACCUGGACACACAGUUACACACCUGUACACACCUGUACACACAGUUACACACCUGUAUCUCACCUGUUCACACCUGUUACCUGUCGCACAGGUGGAGGGUUCGAGGAGUGGCGCGGCGGCCGCGGGGGCUUUGACCGGGGCGGGUUGGGCACACCUGUACACACCUGUGCACACAGUUACACGCCUGUACACACAGUUACACACCUGUGCACACAGUUACACACCUGUGCACACCUGUACACACAGUUACACACCUGUAUCUCACCUGUAUCACACCUGUACAGGUGGAGGGUUCGAGGCCGGCCUGGCGGCUGGGUUGCGGGUUCGGGGCGCGGCGACCGCGGCGGCUUCAGGGGCGGCCGAGGGGGAGACCGCGACCGGGGCGGCUUCGGGCCCGGCAAGAUGGACAGCAGGGGCGACCACCGGCAGGACCGACGCGAGCGGCCGUACUGAGCCCCUCCCCCACCGCCCCUCCCCCACCCCCCGUUUUGUAUUUGCCGCCCCCUCCCCCCCCCUCCCCCCGCGCCCCUCCCCCCGCGGGCUCCUCCCCCCCGCUUUUAACCCGCCCCUCCCCCCCAAUAAAGGGAUUUUGGGGAAGGAUUCGGGGCCUCUUCUGAUUGGAUGGGGAUGGGA
This 1298-nucleotide long non-coding RNA is filed under the name Camarhynchus parvulus. Its description in RNAcentral is "lncRNA (ENSCPVG00000017262.1)". Lineage: Eukaryota; Metazoa; Chordata; Aves; Passeriformes; Thraupidae. The record is from RNAcentral.